GGGGAUUUAGCUCAGUGGUAGAGCGCUUGCCUAGCAAGCGCAAGGCCCUGGGUUCGGUCCCCAGCUUCA
Non-coding RNA from Rattus norvegicus (Norway rat), 69 nucleotides. The record is from Rfam. Lineage: Eukaryota; Metazoa; Chordata; Mammalia; Rodentia; Muridae.